GAUGAACGCUGGCGGCGUGCCUAAUGCAUGCAAGUCGAGCGAACGGACGAGAAGCUUGCUUCUCUGAUGUUAGCGGCGGACGGGUGAGUAACACGUGGAUAACCUACCUAUAAGACUGGGAUAACUUCGGGAAACCGGAGCUAAUACCGGAUAAUAUUUUGAACCGCAUGGUUCAAAAGUAAAAGACGGUCUUGCUGUCACUUAUAGAUGGAUCCGCGCUGCAUUAGCUAGUUGGUAAGGUAACGGCUUACCAAUGCAACGAUGCAUAGCCGACCUGAGAGGGUGAUCGGCCACACUGGAACUGAGACACGGUCCAGACUCCUACGGGAGGCAGCAGUAGGGAAUCUUCCGCAAUGGGCGAAAGCCUGACGGAGCAACGCCGCGUGAGUGAUGAAGGUCUUCGGAUCGUAAAACUCUGUUAUUAGGGAAGAACAUAUGUGUAAGUAACUGUGCACAUCUUGACGGUACCUAAUCAGAAAGCCACGGCUAACUACGUG
RNAcentral lists this ribosomal RNA (497 nucleotides) under uncultured bacterium. Its description in RNAcentral is "partial 16S ribosomal RNA". It matches the Rfam family "Bacterial small subunit ribosomal RNA", at positions 28 to 507 of the family's 1533-position model. The record is from RNAcentral.